UUGACAGCAAGAGUGAAAUCCUCUAUUUAUUCAAAGAACAGGUACAGAACAAACAGCAGCUACAGUGCAACAUUGAUACACACACACACACCUCACCCACCAGUACGAGUGCCUGGGAGGGAUCAUUUCCAAGGUUAAAGGGGGAGUUCACCUUUCAAGACUCAUUCAAACAAAAGGAAGU
RNAcentral lists this small RNA (181 nucleotides) under Chrysemys picta bellii (western painted turtle). Its description in RNAcentral is "TUC338 (ENSCPBG00000017274.1)". Lineage: Eukaryota; Metazoa; Chordata; Testudines; Emydidae. The record is from RNAcentral.